GGACAGUGACGAUUGAUUUGAAAGGUCUCGUUCGUCGUAAUGGGCGUUUUAUUACGUCCUUGCCGACCAUUCUAUAUAUCACCACCCAUAUUCCGAGUCC
Molecule: small nucleolar RNA, 100 nt
Filed under: Macleaya cordata
Lineage: Eukaryota; Viridiplantae; Streptophyta; Magnoliopsida; Ranunculales; Papaveraceae
Description: Small nucleolar RNA Z43
Rfam family: Small nucleolar RNA Z43
About the family: Z43 is a member of the C/D class of snoRNA which contain the C (UGAUGA) and D (CUGA) box motifs. Most of the members of the box C/D family function in directing site-specific 2'-O-methylation of substrate RNAs.
Source: Rfam by way of RNAcentral